AGAGUUUGAUCCUGGCUCAGAUUGAACGCUGGCGGCAUGCCUUACACAUGCAAGUCGAACGGUAGAGGGGCAACCCUUGAGAGUGGCGAACGGGUGAGUAAUAUAUCGGAACGUGCCCAGUCGUGGGGGAUAACGCAGCGAAAGCUGCGCUAAUACCGCAUACGAUCUAUGGAUGAAAGCGGGGGAUCGCAAGACCUCGCGCGAUUGGAGCGGCCGAUAUCAGAUUAGGUAGUUGGUAGGGUAAAAGCCUACCAAGCCGACGAUCUGUAGCUGGUCUGAGAGGACGACCAGCCACACUGGGACUGAGACACGGCCCAGACUCCUACGGGAGGCAGCAGUGGGGAAUUUUGGACAAUGGGCGCAAGCCUGAUCCAGCAAUGCCGCGUGCAGGACGAAGGCCUUCGGGUUGUAAACUGCUUUUGUACGGAACGAAACGGUCUGGGUUAAUACCCUGGGCUAAUGACGGUACCGUAAGAAUAAGCACCGGCUAACUACGUGCCAGCCGCCGCGGUNANAC
RNAcentral lists this ribosomal RNA (517 nucleotides) under uncultured soil bacterium. RNAcentral's name for it is "bacterial SSU rRNA". It matches the Rfam family "Bacterial small subunit ribosomal RNA", at positions 8 to 526 of the family's 1533-position model. The record is from RNAcentral.